UACGUAGGGGGCGAGCGUUGUCCGGAUUUAUUGGGCGUAAAGAGCGUGUAGGUGGCCAGGUAGGUCUGCUGUGAAAACUCGAGGCUCAACCUCGAGACGUCGGCGGAAACCAUCUGGCUAGAGUCCGGAAGAGGAGAGUGGAAUUCCUGGUGUAGCGGUGAAAUGCGCAGAUAUCAGGAAGAACACCCGUGGCGAAGGCGGCUCUCUGGGACGGUACUGACGCUGAGGAGCGAAAGCCAGGGGAGCAAACGGG
This 253-nucleotide ribosomal RNA is filed under the name uncultured bacterium. RNAcentral's name for it is "partial 16S ribosomal RNA". It matches the Rfam family "Bacterial small subunit ribosomal RNA", at positions 524 to 776 of the family's 1533-position model. The record is from RNAcentral.